Molecule: transfer RNA, 73 nt
Filed under: Endomicrobium sp.
Lineage: Bacteria; Pseudomonadati; Elusimicrobiota; Endomicrobiia; Endomicrobiales; Endomicrobiaceae
Description: tRNA-Thr
Rfam family: tRNA
About the family: Transfer RNA (tRNA) molecules are approximately 80 nucleotides in length.
Source: RNAcentral
GCCGACGUAGCUCAGUUGGUAGAGCAACGGUUUUGUAAACCGUAGGUCAUAGGUUCGAAUCCUACCGUCGGCU